Molecule: long non-coding RNA, 96 nt
Organism: Telopea speciosissima
Lineage: Eukaryota; Viridiplantae; Streptophyta; Magnoliopsida; Proteales; Proteaceae
Exons: 3
Source: RefSeq, a predicted model, not a curated record
GAUAUUGCAAAAGUUGCGUGGGAUGUAGUCGAAUUGUUUAGAAGUGACAUCGGUGCAGCUCGACAAGUCUUCCUCUGAAAAUUCUUAGCUUCCAAA